RNAcentral lists this long non-coding RNA (449 nucleotides) under Gallus gallus (chicken). RNAcentral's name for it is "lncRNA (ENSGALG00010027031.1)". The record is from RNAcentral. Lineage: Eukaryota; Metazoa; Chordata; Aves; Galliformes; Phasianidae.
CGGGAUAUCUGAAUUUACAUGUGUUAGAGACUGCUGCUUUGGUUAAAGCCACAGGGACAUGAGGCUCUCAACCCAUGGCCUGGGUCUCCAUGCCCCCCAACUCCUCCACCACACAGUACAGAAAUGGACACUGCAAAUUUCUGUCUGAGGCCAGCCUUGGCAGCGGAGCCAACGAGAAGAGAAACAGCCUGUGCUCUAAUAAGUAAAAUAUUUAUGUCUUGCUUUGGCUAACAUACCCUCUCUCAAUAAAAUAUUUUUCCCAGGAGGAAAUCUAUGAAAGGGAGGGAGCUCCUUUAUUAUGUCCCCAAAUCAUUCUUUUCUGCUGCCCUUCAAAAGCCUGGAAAUCAAAGACCACUGUAGUCCAAAGCUUUUUGUUGCCGUUCUUGACUUUGUUAUCGUUAGUUAUUACAAUCAUUACAUUGAUUACCAUUAUGAGCUCUCAAGAGGCC